CAGAGGGUGCAAGCGUUAAUCGGAUUUACUGGGCGUAAAGCGUGUGUAGGCGGUUCGUUAAGUCGGAUGUGAAAGCCCUGGGCUCAACCUAGGAAUUGCAUUCGAUACUGGCGAGCUAGAGUACGGUAGAGGGCGGCGGAAUUCCGGGUGUAGCGGUGAAAUGCGUAGAUAUCCGGAGGAACACCGAUGGCGAAGGCAACCGCCUGGGCCUGUACUGACGCUGAGACACGAAAGCGUGGGGAGCAAACAGGAUUAGAUACCCUGGUAGUCCACGCCGUAAACGAUGAGAACUUGACGUCGGUUUGCUCUGCGAAUCGGUGUCGAAGCUAACGCGCUAAGUUCUCCGCCUGGGGAGUACGGCCGCAAGGUUG
This 371-nucleotide ribosomal RNA is filed under the name uncultured organism. RNAcentral describes it as "bacterial SSU rRNA". It matches the Rfam family "Bacterial small subunit ribosomal RNA", at positions 526 to 896 of the family's 1533-position model. The record is from RNAcentral.